AUUGAACGCUGGCGGCAUGCCUUACACAUGCAAGUCGAACGGCAGCACGGGAGCAAUCCCGGUGGCGAGUGGCGAACGGGUGAGUAAAGUAUCGGAACGUGCCCAGUCGUGGGGGAUAACGUAGCGAAAGUUACGCUAAUACCGCAUACGAUCUAUGGAUGAAAGCGGGGGAUCGCAAGACCUCGCGCGAUUGGAGCGGCCGAUAUCAGAUUAGGUAGUUGGUGGGGUAAAGGCUCACCAAGCCGACGAUCUGUAGCUGGUCUGAGAGGACGACCAGCCACACUGGGACUGAGACACGGCCAAGACUCCUACGGGGGGCAGCAGGGGGGAAUUUUGGACAAUGGGGGAAAGCCUGAUCCAGCCAUGCCGCGUGCAGGAUGAAGGCCUUCGGGUUGUAAACUGUUUUUGUACGGAACAAAAAGUUUUGGCCUAAUAGGCGGAGCUCAUGACGGUACCGUAAGAAUAAGCACCGGCUAACUACGUGCCAGCCGCCCCCGUAA
RNAcentral lists this ribosomal RNA (500 nucleotides) under uncultured bacterium. RNAcentral's name for it is "partial 16S ribosomal RNA". It matches the Rfam family "Bacterial small subunit ribosomal RNA", at positions 30 to 523 of the family's 1533-position model. The record is from RNAcentral.